Molecule: ribosomal RNA, 253 nt
Filed under: uncultured bacterium
Lineage: Bacteria
Description: partial 16S ribosomal RNA
Rfam family: Bacterial small subunit ribosomal RNA
Source: RNAcentral
UACGUAGGGAGCAAGCGUUGUUCGGAUUUACUGGGCGUAAAGGGCGCGUAGGCGGCGCGGUAAGUCACUUGUGAAAUCUCUGAGCUUAACUCAGAACGGCCAAGUGAUACUGCAGUGCUAGAGUGCAGAAAGGGCAAUCGGAAUUCUUGGUGUAGCGGUGAAAUGCGUAGAUAUCGGGAGGAACACCUGCGGCGAAGGCGGGUUGCUGGGCUGACACUGACGCUGAGGCGCGAAAGCUAGGGGAGCGAACGGG